Molecule: transfer RNA, 65 nt
Filed under: Cavia porcellus (domestic guinea pig)
Lineage: Eukaryota; Metazoa; Chordata; Mammalia; Rodentia; Caviidae
Rfam family: tRNA
About the family: Transfer RNA (tRNA) molecules are approximately 80 nucleotides in length. Their secondary structure includes four short double-helical elements and three loops (D, anti-codon, and T loops). Further hydrogen bonds mediate the characteristic L-shaped molecular structure. tRNAs have two regions of fundamental functional importance: the anti-codon, which is responsible for specific mRNA codon recognition, and the 3' end, to which the tRNAs corresponding amino acid is attached (by aminoacyl-tRNA synthetases). tRNAs cope with the degeneracy of the genetic code in two manners: having more than one tRNA (with a specific anti-codon) for a particular amino acid; and 'wobble' base-pairing, i.e. permitting non-standard base-pairing at the 3rd anti-codon position.
Source: Rfam by way of RNAcentral
GGGGAUUUAGCUCAGCGGCAUAAGCGCCUGCCUUGCAAGCAGGCGGUCCUGAGUUCGAUUCCCCG